UCGAAAUCUUCACGCAUUCUCAACCUUCUCUCCUUCUCGCCAUCAUUCUUCAUUCCUUCUCUCCUCCGGGCUGUCGUUCUUCGUUCUUUCUCUCCUCCCCGCUGUCCUCCAUCUGUUCCUUUUCCACUCUCGUCCAUAUGCCACGAUGAAGGAGAAAUACUGCAGCUCAUUUAUUUUCCUUCCUUGCUCUGAGGCUGUCGGUGUGAUUUCUGCUUCUCACCCUCUUCGAAGAACAGCUGGGCGGAAUUCUUCUCUCCUUCGGUGGUCCAUGAGCUAAAAUGUGACAGCUUCCACUGCACUUGGGUAGAGAUAUUGUAGUUGACCCUGUGCCUUCUGCUAAUCAUCAAGGGCAGUAUUGCUUUUUAGAUAGUGGGAGCACUCUUUGACCAUUCAUUUUGAUAUAAUUAUAUAUUAUAUUAAAAUUAUAAAUUUAGAACUCCACGUACAUCAUAGUUAGGUCUUAAUUUUAUUUUGUUAAUAUAAAUCUACUGGUCUGGAGCUAAAC
This is a long non-coding RNA of Prosopis cineraria, 505 nucleotides long. RefSeq lists it as uncharacterized. Lineage: Eukaryota; Viridiplantae; Streptophyta; Magnoliopsida; Fabales; Fabaceae. The record is from RefSeq and is a predicted model, not a curated record. The transcript has 3 exons.